Trifolium pratense (red clover) is the source of this 1500-nucleotide RNA transcript. It is a transcript of the gene named probable inactive heme oxygenase 2, chloroplastic, with no coding region annotated. The record is from RefSeq and is a predicted model, not a curated record. Lineage: Eukaryota; Viridiplantae; Streptophyta; Magnoliopsida; Fabales; Fabaceae. The transcript has 5 exons.
GAGGUUAAGCGCGGAAAAUAUCCCACAAGAAGAAGAGUACACUAGACAGAAUCUGCAAGCAGAAAGAGUAGAAUAGUAUCGUAAAGUUGCAAUGCUGUUAACGGCGAAACCCACACAACUACAACUAUGGUUACCGUUUAAACCUUCAACACUUCCUAAUCCAACUAACUUCAACAUCACAAGAAGGAGAAUCGUUCUCAACAACAAUAACGAUAACAACAACGAUAACAACUCCUCUUCUUCUUAUCAACAAUCGGUACUUAAAAAGAAAAACCGAUAUCGGAAACUUUACCCCGGAGAAUCCACCGGAAUCACUGAAGAGAUGAGAUUCGUUGCUAUGCGACUCCGCAACGACAAAAUCACCACCAAUUACGUAGUAGAAGACGGCCAAGAACAACUUCCUGACACGUGGCAGCCUUCUAUGGUAGGCUUUAUCCGAUUCUUGGUUGAUAAUCAACUCGUUUUCACCACACUCGAACGUCUCAUUGAUGAUUCCGAUAACGUUUCAUUUGCGUACUUGAGGAAAACUGGAUUGGAAAGAUCUGAAGGGAUUUUGAAGGAUAUAGAAUGGUUGAAGCAAGAAGGUGUUGAGAUCCCCAAUCCAAGUACUCGUGGGAUUGCAUAUGCGAAAUAUUUGGAGGAGCUUGCCGAAAAAAGUCCGCCUUUGUUUCUCUCCCAUUUCUACAAUAUCCAUUUUUCUCAUAUAUCUGCUAGCCAGGUUAUUGUAAAGCAGGUUUCUGAAAAGCUCCUGAAAGGUAAGGAGCUGGAGAUCUGCAAAUGGGAAGGAGAUGUACAGGAAAUGCUGAAAGAUGUACGCGAGAAGCUUAAUGUGCUUUCAGAGCAUUGGUCUCGGGAGGAAAAAAAUAAAUGUUUAAGAGAAACAAAAAAGUCAUUUCAGUAUAUGGGACAGAUUGUUCGUCUGAUAAUCUUAUGAAGAGACUGGCUGGCUCUCUGUUUUCUUUUUUUGUUAAUAGCACUGACUUUUUUAUGCAUUUCAUUGCAACUUCAAUUAUAAAUUGUGUGGUGGUUCAAUUGGACUAUUAAUUCAGCCUAAGUGGUCGACUGUUACUAUGUAGGAUAGUGGGCAGUUCGAGGGCGUUAACUGUAGCUUGGCAGCCUUUUUUGUUGCAGCAAAUAUUACUGUCGUCACGCCUCGCAUUUAUGGUGAUUUUAAUGUUUUUUCCAAAGCUAUCUGUUAUGGAUUUGCCAAUCCUCAUUGAUAUGGACUUUAAGUCUUUAACUGUAUAGCCAGCCAGUGGAUAAGAUAAGACAAUUUUUUCCAAUAGAGAUGUUUCAGCAUUACUUAAGAUUUUUAAUUUCUCGUCCACACUAUUUCUGAUACACGAUUGGUUAGGUGCAUAAGCAUUAAGCACUCACUCAUCAGCUUGUGUUUUUUAUUAUUAAAUCCAGUUGAUAUCUUCUCUUGACUCAUAACAGGGUGACUUUUUCCACUGUUUUUCUGUUUCCUAUCAUGGAGUCGAAUGGAAUCUAUUAAGUUUA